CAGCCGCCGCGGUAAUACGAAGGGGGCUAGCGUUGUUCGGAAUUACUGGGCGUAAAGCGCACGUAGGCGGAUAUUUAAGUCAGGGGUGAAAUCCCGCAGCUCAACUGCGGAACUGCCUUUGAUACUGGGUAUCUUGAGUAUGGAAGAGGUAAGUGGAAUUCCGAGUGUAGAGGUGAAAUUCGUAGAUAUUCGCAAGAGCACCAGUGGCGAAGGCGGCUUACUGGUCCGGUACUGACGCUGAGGUGCGAAAGCGUGGGGAGCAAACAGGAUUAGAUACCCGCGUAGUCCCUGUCUCUUAUAA
This 301-nucleotide ribosomal RNA is filed under the name uncultured bacterium. RNAcentral's name for it is "partial 16S ribosomal RNA". It matches the Rfam family "Bacterial small subunit ribosomal RNA", at positions 509 to 809 of the family's 1533-position model. The record is from RNAcentral.